CUUUGCUAGAUCUGCUGCUAAAGAGCAGGAAAACGCAGCCACAGAGCACACAGCUGACAAGCUCUAUUGAUGAAAGGCUUAUUUUUUGCAGAGGCUUGUUUUCUAGACAUCGGGGAAAACAGGAAGGAGGGACUGACAUGACUGAAAUAUGGCAGACUGAUUUCCAAGGGUAUAAUGGGAACAGUAUCCUGAAACGAACUGCACCCAACUUUGCCAUCCACAACACAUCGCCAGGAGAAAACAAGCCUCAACAGAAGAAACAGCAGGUAAGACUAGCACUGAUGUCUGAAGGCUGUGCAUGGGUCAACAUCACAGGAGGGUCCACCUUCCCCAAAACAGAAGGAAAACCCUAACAGCAGUGCAUCCUGCCUGUGGGGCAUCCUUUCAAUAGUGACUCAAAAGUUAAUGUUUUGGGCAUGUGCCAAAAGCAUCGAAGAUCAUGGAAGCCUGGACAUGGUUUGCUUGUCUUCUGGAUCAGCACGUUUCCUGUCUUCGUUACUGCCUGGUGCAUGCGUCGCUUAUUUGACUGCUGUUUCCUCAUCUCAGAUCUGUAUGCGGUCCACUAGGAUAACACCUGCCUGAUGCAAUCCCUGAUGGUUAUCGAGGAGCUGAAAGAUCAGCCCAUAGCUCUGAGAUGCUUCAGAGUGCGACAUCACUGAACACCACAGGAUUAGCAGUUCUAAAAUAAAAGGGACUAGAAAACAAAAGAUCA
RNAcentral lists this long non-coding RNA (712 nucleotides) under Struthio camelus australis. RNAcentral describes it as "lncRNA (ENSSCUG00000017288.1)". The record is from RNAcentral. Lineage: Eukaryota; Metazoa; Chordata; Aves; Struthioniformes; Struthionidae.